GCCCCAGUGGCCUAAUGGAUAAGGCACUGGCCUCCUAAGCUAGGGAUUGUGGGUUCAAGUCCCAUCUGGGGUG
This 73-nucleotide transfer RNA is filed under the name Megalops atlanticus (tarpon). It matches the Rfam family "tRNA". From Rfam's summary of the family: Transfer RNA (tRNA) molecules are approximately 80 nucleotides in length. Their secondary structure includes four short double-helical elements and three loops (D, anti-codon, and T loops). Lineage: Eukaryota; Metazoa; Chordata; Actinopteri; Elopiformes; Megalopidae. The record is from Rfam by way of RNAcentral. RNAcentral also lists the same sequence under 1 other name.